AGGUCCGUAGCUCAAUUGGUAGAGUACCGGUCUCCAAAACCGGGUGUUGCAAGUUCGAGUCUUGCCGGGCCUGCCA
Molecule: transfer RNA, 76 nt
Filed under: Synergistaceae bacterium
Lineage: Bacteria; Thermotogati; Synergistota; Synergistia; Synergistales; Synergistaceae
Description: tRNA-Trp
Rfam family: tRNA
About the family: Transfer RNA (tRNA) molecules are approximately 80 nucleotides in length. Their secondary structure includes four short double-helical elements and three loops (D, anti-codon, and T loops).
Source: RNAcentral